UGAUCUCCAAAACACCUCUUCAAGUAUGUGAUCAAGAAACCGAUCGUUCCUAGAGCAAGUGGCAAAGGAUUUGGUGAUUAGUAUCUGAGACCUAAGUUCGAAUCCUAGUUGAUUCACAUUUCCAGCUAAGUUUAUUUUCUAAAUGAAAUAAACGAAGCGUGUAGCAUGCUACCUAUCUCUCAAAAUAAAAAAGAAGAAGAAAAAAGUAUGUGAUCAAGGAAUGUUAAGCUUGCGUUUGAGA
RNAcentral lists this long non-coding RNA (241 nucleotides) under Ananas comosus (pineapple). RNAcentral's name for it is "long non-coding RNA (ACOM_LNC018819)". The record is from RNAcentral. Lineage: Eukaryota; Viridiplantae; Streptophyta; Magnoliopsida; Poales; Bromeliaceae.